Puma concolor (puma) is the source of this 447-nucleotide non-coding RNA. The record is from the annotation of a RefSeq genome assembly. Lineage: Eukaryota; Metazoa; Chordata; Mammalia; Carnivora; Felidae.
UCAGCCAUGCUCCUGUUGCUCAUCCCAGUACUGGGGAUGCUUUUUUCCCUGAGAGACACCAGUGCCCAGUCAGUGACCCAGCUUGAUGGCCAUGUCACUGUCUCUGAAAAAGCCCAUCUGGAGCUGAGGUGCAACUACUCCUAUGGGGCAACUCCUAAUCUCUUCUGGUAUGUGCAGUACCCCAACCAAGGACUCCAGCUUCUCCUCAAGUACUUUUCAGGGCCACCAAAUGUCCUGGUUCAAGGCAUCAAAGGUUUUCAGGCUGAAUUUAGGAAGAAUGAAACCUCCUUCCAUCUGAGGAAACACUCGGCCCACUGGAGCGACUCGGCCAAGUACUUUUGUGCUGCAAGUGACACAGUACCUUGGACUGCAGGGGGAGCUGAACACAAACCUCUUGAGGCACUAAGGAGGCUAAGUGCAUCUGAAAGGUUUUGGAUUCUGACAUAG